AUGUGGAGAGGCUGCGGGUGCCAUUUUUGAAGAGGGAAAUGGCUGCCCGGAAGUGGAAAAGGGCGGAUAAUGUUACCGUAGCCAUUUUGGAUGAGGGAAUUAAUAUCCGGAAGCGCCUCCAUUUAUGGCGGUUGUUGCCAGCGGCGCCAUUUUGUGUCAGGGAAAUAGAUGCCGGAAGCGCCUCCAUUUUGAAAGAUGGGGGGAGAGGGACGUCGGCGGCAAUAGGCGGAACUUCUCACGGAUCUGGGCAAAUCGCUGGGCGGAUUAGCUAACCCUUUCCUCUCCGAGGUAGGAUCCUCUCCGUGUUUGCCACCAGCCGGAGCUCGCGGUCCACGGGUAGCCGCUGGCCCCGGAGGGCGAGUCCUCUUUGCCCCUUUGCCUGCUUCGUUGAGAGGGGGAAAUGUGUGGCCUGCAUGCGCGGCCGGGGAACCCUUGGUCAAAAUUCAUUUUAAAGGCUGGGGGGGGGGCCCAGAACCGAAUUAACGGCGACGCAGGGUGUUGUCUUUUAUUGUUAUUUACUAUAGUGGAUUUAUCUGGCGGUUCACAGGAUAAAAAGACGGGGUAGAAAUAUCUGUAAAUAGUUUUUAAAAACACCAAUAACCUUCCCUCCCAGAAGCGUUUAAAGGCUGUAAAGCCCUUUAAAAAUGCCUAAAAAGAACAUUUGGGGCUUGGUCUCGUCUCCCCUAACCCUUAACAGUAGAGGUUUUUUAUUUAUUCUAUUUUGGGGAGAAACACCCCUGGCCCUGUCUCCUUUCCCCAUUUCUCAGCAACUCCCAAGUAAUUGGCUUGAGAUCUCUAUUGCAUUUAACCCUUAGACAGCUUUUGUGAGCCUAAUCAAGCAAUGUGCUGAAAAUUUAAUUUGCUCAGACGAACCAUUGCUUCCAUCAGUGGUUUUGGAACCAGGUAAUUCCUCCAGAUUUAUCCACACUAGCCAAGUAAAGUCAAAACACAUACCUUGAAUUGAAUGCCACAAGAAUAAAUGGGGAUCAGCCCCUGCUAUAGUGGGCAGCCCCAAAAGCCAUUUGUGUUGUUAAGAUUUUCAAAAGCAGAAAUAAUAUUUACAAAACAGCAACUUCAGACCAGUUUUGGACACUUGCAGCACUUUGCAAUGUUAAGAGGUGCUCUAAAGAAAAGCACUUUCUACAUUCAUGAGCCUCAUCCCCCCCCCCCUUUUGCUGGAGGUAUAAAUGUUGUUAGCAAUGUGCAAUCACCCUGAAGGCUUCAGGUCUGCUCCUGACUGUUGAAAUGCUCCUGGGGAGGCUGUAAGUCAGUCAGUAAACUCUGCUUCCAGUCAGUAAACUGAUUGCAAGGUGUCCUUCAUGGCAUAACUUGCAGCUGCAGGAGAAGGUGUGGAUCCUAUACCUAAAUAUCCCUGAAAGUGUCAUUUAAAAGUGCAACAUCUAGCAAUUAAAUUCAAUCACCUUUGAGCAGAAGGUUGUGACACCUGCAUAUUCCUGGGUUGCAGCGAGCUGGACUUGAUGACCAUCACAGGAUUCUUUGGAAAAUGCUUCAGAAAUAAUAGAAAUAGCAUUCAUUUAAGUUAGUCGUAUGAUGGCACAGUAGUCUCACUUCCCUGUAAACUGUAUUUUUCGCCCCAUAGGGCGCACCGGCCCAUAGGGCGCACCUAGUUUUUUUGGGGGGGGGAAUAAAGGGGGGGAAUUAUUUUUCCCCCCAGGCUGCGCUCCCCGGGUUUCGGGCUGCAGGCUGCUGUCCGCAAGCCUUGGGAGCCUGGCAGGAAGUCGCGCCGGUCUCCCCAGGCUUGCGGAUAUCUGCCCGAAGCCUGGAGAGCAAGUGUGCACCGACCCCUCUCGCUAUCCAGGCUUCAGCGAAAGCCUGCAUUUGCCCCAUAGGACGCACACACAUUUCCCCUUCAUUUUUGGAGGGGAAAAGGUGCGUCCUAUAGGGCAAAAAAUACGGUACUUUAUUACUCCUUGCACUGCAAUUUGAGCUUGAUAUAUCCUAUGCCUGUUUUUACAUGGACCCCUCUUUCAGUUUUUCUGAAAGAAACCUGUCCCACUGAUAUUUCUCAGGUCUGUAUGGGCUCUGCUGAAUUCCUGCUCCAAAAAAGUGGAAACACUAUGACAAGCUUAAAAAAAUGUUUUAGUAUAACUUUAUGAAAAAUACAGAAGCUUUUCUACUAGGGAUAACGGACACAGGUAUAGCAAGAGAAGAUCAGAAAAUAUUCCUCUAUGCCACAGGAGUGGCAAGGAUCCUAAUUGCUAAAAACUGGAAAAAGAAGCUGUGCCAACAAAAACGGAAUGGCAAGACAAACUGUUAGAGUAUAUUGAACUGGCUAGAUUAACAGAGGCAAUUAGAGAUCACACUAGACAAAGAGUUUCAAAAAGCAUGGGGGAAAGCAGAGAAUACUUCACAAAACAGUGCCCUAAAAUACAUAUGAGCUUCCUUGCAGUGGGUUGGACUAGAUGCCCCUUGAUGCCCCUUUCAUGUAUCCCAUGCUCCCUGUCUCUCUUCCUCUCCUUUUAAUGACACUUCCCCGGUUUUUCCUUCCUAGCUGGGCCGCCUCCGGGAACCUAAGUGCUGGCACCUGCAAUUUCGCCUGCUGGCAUUGUUCUGACAAGAUCCAUUGUGGUAAGUUUUGGCGUCACCAAAGACCGCUGGGAUUGCUCUGACAAGAUCCAUUGACACCAGUUUUGGCGUCACCAAAGGAAUUAAGGAGAUGUGCUUCAAUUCCCUCGCAGAUAGUAUUUAACCCAUCACGGCAUCUCUCAAAGCAUAGGAACUGUAGUUUCCUAUGGGGGGAGAGAAUAUUCUGCGCAACCUUUCCCAAGGGAACUCUGGGAGUUAUAGCUCUGAGAGGGUCUCUUUGGGAAACGGAACAAACUACAGUUACCACGAUGUCCCCCCAAAGCACCCUGGGAACUAUUGCUUGCUCUGGGUGUUGAGGGUUGUGGCAUCUGAACAGUAAACAAUCUGUCCUUGCAUUCCACAGUAUACAACUCCUUGCCGUCCCAAGCCCAUUUCUCUUCCUAGGGAACUCUGGGAACUGUAGCUCAUGGGAGGAACAGCACUUGGUGCCCUGAACUCUGGGAACCAAUGGGCUGGCACCGCCGAGUGUCGCCUUGGCCUGCGACUUUGAAGGCACCGCCUGCAGCUGGGAGGACGUCAGCAUGGGCACUGACCAGGGUAAACUUGCUUCAUUUGAAAGGCAGAGAAGCAUUGCUAAGCAGUUAGAGCACCCCUUUGACCUGGUGCCCCCCAACCAGGCUGGUACAUGAGCACCUCGGAGCAGCGAACCAAGCCACCUGACUCCGCCUCCCUGACCAUGAGUGACGCGGCCACAGCCUGUGAACUCCGCACCUGGUACGUAGAAAGGUAAGCUUGGGGCACUGGUGGUCAGAAAUCCAACAGGCGCAGAGCCAUGUGCUUGGCCUUUUUCCCUGUGUGGAGGAAAUGCCACGAGGCACAGUUGUCGUAAUUCCAUAUUGAUAUCACAUAUUACAUUUCUAAGCUGCAGGACAUACCGUGGUGAUAUCAUAUUGUCAAGGCUGCCUCAAGUCUUAGCUCACAAAAGACCAACGCCUACGUCUUCUUGUAUACAAAGGUGUUUAUUGCAGUUCAUGGUUUGCUUGACAUCCUAGGCGCGCAGCCUUACGUCUCUUACGCUAGACCGCCGAAGUCCCCUCUGAGUCAGUCCCUCCUCUGCACCAAUUUAAGAGACUUGCGCUGCUCCACCUCUUUCUCUCCUUCCUUUUCCGCAGGGUCCUUCUACCCACUGGGGUUUCCCCCCUCCUGGAUUCCUCUGACGCGGAAUCAGACUGCUCUUCCCCCCUCCUGCGGGCUUUGGGACCUGGCCCCUCCUCCGGGCUCCCUGCACUUCCG
This 3840-nucleotide long non-coding RNA is filed under the name Podarcis lilfordi (Lilford's wall lizard). The record is from RNAcentral. Lineage: Eukaryota; Metazoa; Chordata; Lepidosauria; Squamata; Lacertidae.